This is a non-coding RNA of Pteropus alecto (black flying fox), 119 nucleotides long. Lineage: Eukaryota; Metazoa; Chordata; Mammalia; Chiroptera; Pteropodidae. The record is from Rfam.
GUCUAUGGCCAUGCUACCCUGAACAAGCUGGAUUCCGUCUGAUCCUGGAAGCUAAGCAGGGUCGGGUCUGGUUAGGACUUGGAUGGGAGACCACCUAGGAAGACGAGGUGCUGUAGGCA